UCCCCUCUAGUAUGCCCUCUUGCGAAUUCGUCUGAGAUUUUUCUAUUAUUUUUGAAUUUGUCUCAUAUUCUCUAGCCUAGAGAAUUCUUUAGAGAUCUUUCGUCUUGAUUUUUAACCUUGCAGCCAUAAUCGUCCACUUGCAAUACUCUGAAGGAUCUUUGUCUUGAAAGAGCAUUGACACCUGAACUUGGGGAGUUGGCUUACAUAAAAUCUAUACCAAUGCAACAACAAAAAAUUAGAUGAAUUCAAUGGGGCCAAUUCCGUUACCAGAAUGGCAACCUCUGUCAUUGCAAACAUCUAAAGAAUAGGGACCAAAGACGCAAUGUAUUUCUCUCGCAUUGGUGGCUGUCUGUUAUUUGGUGGCCAAUGAAACAGGUGCUAACUGAGUUGGCGGUGACGAAAAUGGUGGGUGAUGCAAAACAGAACGAUGGGCGACGGAUUUUGCAGUGACGGUGUGGAGUUUGUGAGGGUCCCUAACUUUCUAUUGAAGUUGAGUGAUUUUCGUGCAGAGGGAAUGCAGAAAUUUUGAUUUCAUCCAGUGUGUUCAUCCUUAAAGUUUUUAUGUGGGAUUAUUGACGUGGCAGACUCCUAUUGGAUGUUGUUAAACGCUUAGCAACAGACAGACCGUUGCAAAGCGGAACUGAAAUGAAAAUAGAACAUGAAAUCUUCGCCCCUAAUAUUAUUUUCCCAGCGUUUCCCAGCACUAGCUGGACUCAAACCAGGAACGUGGCUUUGAUUAUCUUUGAUCAAAA
Juglans microcarpa x Juglans regia is the source of this 752-nucleotide long non-coding RNA. RefSeq lists it as uncharacterized. The transcript is spliced from 2 exons. Lineage: Eukaryota; Viridiplantae; Streptophyta; Magnoliopsida; Fagales; Juglandaceae. The record is from RefSeq and is a predicted model, not a curated record.